This 1631-nucleotide long non-coding RNA is filed under the name Homo sapiens (human). RNAcentral's name for it is "HSALNT0073647". The record is from RNAcentral. Lineage: Eukaryota; Metazoa; Chordata; Mammalia; Primates; Hominidae.
GUGAGUGACAACAUGAGGCUCAAUAAACUGUACCUUUUAUUCUUUAACCAAGAGAGUGCAAUGAGAGUAAUAAAAAAGUUCUCAGCGUUGCAGAGAGCACAUAAAAGUGGGCUGCAGUAUUGAUUCCACCAGAAUCAAUCUGGAUCUUGAUCCAGACCAGGAUCAAGAUCAAGGAUAGACCUGGGUACUCAGGACUCCUCCAGCACUCCUCCUGCUAGCUGUCAUUGUUCUGGGCACAUUUGCUGAUUCCUCUGAGGAUUAAGAGUUGGAUGUCAGUGUAUUCAGACACAUUCUGACUUUAUUCCUCACCAAUUCAUUAAAAAUGAUCAGUUGAUACAUAAGGAUCCUUUCUGCAGAAGAAAAGAAGUCAGAUCAAGAUACUGGGAGAAUGAAGUCUUCUCUUUGCCAAAACUCUGACCUGGGCAUCUCUUCCAACUUUCCUACUCGAUGUGGACCAGAACAUUCUUGUCCAGCAUUACUAAACCCUUGCUGGAUAUGAUUGUCUAGUCUGAUGUUAAAUUCACAAGUCUAUUUGGCUUUCUCACCAAGCCAUAUCUUCUGUGGUGUUCCUUAAAAGCAAUAAACAUACAUUGGUGUAGAUAUGCUCUUCCUUUGCUUUUUUCUUAAUUUUUCAGGAUAAUAGAGUAGGUGUCCAUUCAUACUUUUAGCAGGAAUUGUGAAAUUUUUAAUGAAAGUUGGACCUUAUCAAAUACUUUUGCAACAUCGACUAGAGAUAAUUUAAUUAUCUCUCUUUUUUUGUUUUGUUACUCUUUUCACAAAUAGACACCAAUGUGGGGCUUAAUAAAUCAUUUUUGCAUUAAAUUAUAAUUAAAUGUUUAAAUGUUUAUGAGUAAAUGGAGUUAUCAUAAAAAGUAAUAGUAGUGUUUACUCUUCUUACUAUAUAUUUUCAGAUACGAUUGUUAAAAGUAAGUCCUUUUUAAAUCAUAUUAAUUAAAGCUACCAGUGAGGAACAUCAGUGGGGGUGUGGCUCCUAUUCAGGUUUUAGCUGUUAAAAAUAUUUUCCAUUACCACCAAAUAUAGAAUCAGAAAAUGUCUUGAGAAAGCAAUCAACAUAUCGUAGAUCACUGUAUAGAAAACAUAAGUUAUAGUUUCCAGGGUGUAUAAGAACAUCAUGGAGCAUGAAGAUGUUACCAACUAAAUGUAUAUGAAUAUACAAUUUUAAAUAUUUAUAUUUGAUGAAAGAGUAGAUUCAGAUUAAUGCCCUAAUGUUUUUAUGUACUAAACAUAACCUUACGGAUUUAUUUUCCAAAGACUAACAUAAAAAUUAAAUAUGCAUUUAAAAUGAUUUUUAAUGCAGCAUCAUAAGGCAAUGACCUGAAAGUGGGAGCAAGAAGACAUAGCUUUGAAGAGUUAUACAAAUGUGACAAUUCUGAAAAUAAGUUGAGGUGUUUAAAAGUAUAGAUGCUAGAGAUGGAUAAAUCUAUAUAUGAAUGUCAGCUUUAGAACAUAUUAGCUGUGUGACUUUGGAAAUAUUACUUAACCUCUGUGAGCCUCAGUUUCCUUGUCUGCAAAAGGAAAAGAAAAAUAGAAAGCACCAUACCACCAUCAAGUUUGCUGUAAGAGAUACAUGUAAAGUGUUAACAUAGAUACCUGGAAUAUAACAAAUUUUC